UUGCUGUCAUUGGCUAGAACAAAAGUCUCAGUUAUUGUGUCCGUCAUGACAGGUCUCUGUCCAAUCGGAAAAGAUUGCCACAUAAACCUAACCUAAUAAUACUGUGUAAUACCAGUCCGCUACGUACAACCGGAUGCCAUUGGAUUGCGUAAAAACGUUUCACGGAACUCUUCCUGUGUUACAAAUGAAGAACAGUCGAGACAUUGGUCACAACGAUAAAUUUCAAUUGAGCGUUGAUCCCCGAAGGCAAUAAGUCUGUAUCGGCCCCGAUACCAGCCUGCAUCGUCACAAACUGGAGGAGACCCAGGAAAUUCCGCAAUGACAUCAGAGUAUACUGAUGACAGUCCAUUGACAAUCCCACUCCAAUUAUUCCUAGCACCCAGAACGAAGAGAAAUGAACCCAUUGAUAAGUAUACGGAUCGACUCAGCAUUAAUUUUUGAUCCGUGUUGAUACGUGUACAAACUAAAGGUUGCAAUUUUCAUCCCAUUAUCUUCAAUUUGCAAUGCCAUUUUUUGAUCUAGGACAAAGCAUAUUGAAAUUGGAAAAACUCGUUUCAGAUUUGGAUAUAGCUGGACUAAAAUUGCAUCAAGUAUUUAUUAUCUGAUUACUGGUUAGUUUAAUGGAAAUCAGUCAGAUACCCAAUACUAAAUUGUUUUGUAGGCUUAUAUUAUAAUAUUGUAACAAAUUGCUGUUUUUACAAAUAAAUUUGUCAAAGUGUUAACUCCCCAUA
Molecule: long non-coding RNA, 731 nt
Organism: Stomoxys calcitrans (stable fly)
Lineage: Eukaryota; Metazoa; Arthropoda; Insecta; Diptera; Muscidae
Exons: 3
Source: RefSeq, a predicted model, not a curated record